GACAAUGUGGCUCAGUGGAAAGAGCACUGGCUUAGAAGUCAGAGGUCAUGGGGUUCUAAUCCCGGCUCUGCCA
RNAcentral lists this transfer RNA (73 nucleotides) under Ornithorhynchus anatinus (platypus). It matches the Rfam family "tRNA". Rfam says of the family: Transfer RNA (tRNA) molecules are approximately 80 nucleotides in length. Their secondary structure includes four short double-helical elements and three loops (D, anti-codon, and T loops). Further hydrogen bonds mediate the characteristic L-shaped molecular structure. tRNAs have two regions of fundamental functional importance: the anti-codon, which is responsible for specific mRNA codon recognition, and the 3' end, to which the tRNAs corresponding amino acid is attached (by aminoacyl-tRNA synthetases). tRNAs cope with the degeneracy of the genetic code in two manners: having more than one tRNA (with a specific anti-codon) for a particular amino acid; and 'wobble' base-pairing, i.e. permitting non-standard base-pairing at the 3rd anti-codon position. Lineage: Eukaryota; Metazoa; Chordata; Mammalia; Monotremata; Ornithorhynchidae. The record is from Rfam by way of RNAcentral.